CCUACGGGAGGCAGCAGUGGGGAAUAUUGGACAAUGGGCGCAAGCCUGACUCCAGCCAUGCCGCGUGAGUGAUGAAGGCCCUAGGGUUGUAAAGCUCUUUUGUGCGGAAGAUAAUGACGGUACCGCAAGAAUAAGCCCCGGCUAACUUCGUGCCAGCAGCCGCGGUAAU
RNAcentral lists this ribosomal RNA (169 nucleotides) under uncultured bacterium. RNAcentral's name for it is "partial 16S ribosomal RNA". It matches the Rfam family "Bacterial small subunit ribosomal RNA", at positions 338 to 524 of the family's 1533-position model. The record is from RNAcentral.